RNAcentral lists this unclassified non-coding RNA (323 nucleotides) under soil metagenome. RNAcentral describes it as "partial contains 5.8S ribosomal RNA, internal transcribed spacer 2, and large subunit ribosomal RNA". The stretch from base 1 to 120 matches the Rfam family "5.8S ribosomal RNA", at positions 35 to 154 of the family's 154-position model. The record is from RNAcentral.
GAUGAAGAACGCAGCGAAAUGCGAUAAGUAAUGUGAAUUGCAGAAUUCAGUGAGUCAUCGAAUCUUUGAACGCACAUUGCGCCCUGUGGUAUUCCGCAGGGCAUGCCUGUUCGAGCGUCAUUUCAACCCUCAAGCUCUGCUUGGUGUUGGGCCCUGCCCGCUGCGGCCGGCCCUAAAGACAGUGGCGGUGCCGCCUGGCCCUGAGCGUAGUACAUCUCUCGCUCCAGUGCCCGGUGGUAGCCUGCCAGAACCCCAACUCUCGUGGUUGACCUCGGAUCAGGUAGGGAUACCCGCUGAACUUAAGCAUAUCAAUAAGCGGAGGA